UUACUGACGCUCAGGCACGAAAAGCGUGGGGAGCAAAUAGGAUUAGAUACCCCUAGUAGUCCACGCCCUAAACGAUGAUUACUAAAUGUUGGGGAAAACUCAGUGUUGUAGCUAACGCAAUAAGUAAUCCGCCUGGGGAGUAUGCACGCAAGUGUGAAACUUAAAGGAAUUGACGGGGCCCCGCACAAGCGGUGGAGUAUGCGGUUUAAUUCGACGCAACGCGAAGAACCUUACCAGGGCUUGACAUCCCCUGCAAAACUAUAGAGAUAUGGCAGAGGUUAUCAGGGUGACAGGUGGUGCAUGGUUGUCGUCAGCUCGUGUCGUGAGAUGUUGGGUUAAGUCCCGCAACGAGCGCAACCCUUGUCUUUAGUUACCAUCAUUUAGUUGGGGACUCUAGAGAGACUGCCGGUGAUAAACCGGAGGAAGGUGGGGAUGACGUCAAAUCAUCAUGCCCUUUAUGUCCUGGGCUACACGCGUACUACAAUGGCGUACACAACAAGAAGCAAUACAGCGAUGUGGAGCAAAACUUACAAAUUACGUCUCAGUUCGGAUCGAAGUCUGCAACCCGACUUCGUGAAGUGGAAUCGCUAGUAAAUCGCG
This 600-nucleotide ribosomal RNA is filed under the name uncultured bacterium. RNAcentral describes it as "bacterial SSU rRNA". It matches the Rfam family "Bacterial small subunit ribosomal RNA", at positions 737 to 1346 of the family's 1533-position model. The record is from RNAcentral.